GACGAACGCUGGCGGCGUGCUUAACACAUGCAAGUCGAACGGGCCUGUCUUCUUUUUUGGGGGUGGGUUGAGUGGCGAACGGGUGAGUAUCACGUGAGUAACCUGCCCUUCGGUCCUGGAUAACCGCUUGAAAGGGCGGCUAAUACGGGGUGGUCCGGUUGGUCCGCAUGGGCUGGUCGGGAUAGAUUCACUGUUUUUGGUGUUUCGGCGGGGGAUGGGCUCGCGGCCUAUCAGCUUGUUGGUGGGGUGAUGGCCUACCAAGGCGGUGACGGGUAGCCGGGCGGAGGGGGUGGGCGGCCACACUGGGACUGAGAUACGGCCCAGACUCCUGCGGGAGGCAGCAGUGGGGGGUAUUGCACAAUGGGCGGAAGCCUGAUGCAGCGACGUCGCGUGAGGGAGGGAGGCCUUCGGGUUGUGAACCUCUGUUUCCGGUGGUGAAGGCCCUGUCCGUGUGGUGGGGUUGACGGUAGCCGGGGAUGAAGCGCCGGCUAACUACGUG
RNAcentral lists this ribosomal RNA (499 nucleotides) under uncultured bacterium. RNAcentral's name for it is "partial 16S ribosomal RNA". It matches the Rfam family "Bacterial small subunit ribosomal RNA", at positions 28 to 507 of the family's 1533-position model. The record is from RNAcentral.